Molecule: ribosomal RNA, 473 nt
Filed under: uncultured organism
Description: partial 16S ribosomal RNA
Rfam family: Bacterial small subunit ribosomal RNA
Source: RNAcentral
UACACUCCUACGGGAGGCAGCAGUGGGGAAUUUUGGACAAUGGGCGAAAGCCUGAUCCAGCAAUGCCGCGUGUGUGAAGAAGGCCUUCGGGUUGUAAAGCACUUUUGUCCGGAAAGAAAUCCUUGGCUCUAAUACAGUCGGGGGAUGACGGUACCGGAAGAAUAAGCACCGGCUAACUACGUGCCAGCAGCCGCGGUAAUACGUAGGGUACGAGCGUUAAUCGGAAUUACUGGGCGUAAAGCGUGCGCAGGCGGUUUGCUAAGACCGAUGUGAAAUCCCCGGGCUCAACCUGGGAACUGCAUUGGUGACUGGCAGGCUAGAGUAUGGCAGAGGGGGGUAGAAUUCCACGUGUAGCAGUGAAAUGCGUAGAGAUGUGGAGGAAUACCAAUGGCGAAGGCAGCCCCCUGGGCCAAUACUGACGCUCAUGCACGAAAGCGUGGGGAGCAAACAGGAUUAGAAACCCUUGUAGUCCC